UAGAACCAAGGUAUAUUAUGAUUAAUGGGAACCUUGGCAAGGGAAUUUAGCUAAGGUGUGGUGUGGUGGCCGCUAGUAACUUGGGUUGGGUAUUGGGUUUUCUAGGGGAUGCCAAUAGACUAGUGCCUGUCGGAUCUGGCGAGUGGACGAGAAACGUCCCUGCCAGGGGGCAGUGUGGGCUGUUGUUCCUGGUGGGGAGAGACGGGGCAGUGUGGGCGGCUGGGGUGCACACCGCCCGAAAGGGCCAAAGUAAAGGUGGUUAGAUAAACAAAGUAAACUAGCAAACUAAUCAAGGAAAUAGCAUUUAAGAAUUCUAAUGCACUUUAGAGUUUAACCAUAGUAAAUAAGAGUAUCAAUUCUAUGUCAAUUAUCAUAUCCACAAACAUAAGAAUAAGCUUAUACACAAAUUUGAAGAGCUCAAUCUUAAUCUUAAGAUUUAAUUUGGAGCAAUUAAGUUCUAAUUGUAGUCAUUUAGAUUGAUGAAAAAGAUACUAACUCUUGAGUUUAUAAACAAUUUCAAUAUGUCGAUGUUAAUGCAACAACACCAAUUCAACUCAUCAUUGAAAUUCCCACAACCAUACUAUACAACCAAUCCCAAAAAAAGUUUGAGAAAUCAUCAAAGCUUCACAAUAACAAACUCAAAUAAUAUAAGACCAUAAAGAACAAUAAUGCAAUAAAAUCUAAAAAAUAAGAUAUAAAAAUUGAAGAAAUCAAAACCAUGAUAUUUAUCAUUUUUAAAUGUAAGAUAUAAAAAGACUUAUGAGGACACUCAAAAAUCUGCCUAUCAAGAUUCAAGAAAGAAUCUUCAACUUAGUUCAUAAUUAAAAAAAUCAAGAAAACCAUAAACCAAUAUACUAUGGAUCAAUAUUCACACUAAGAAAUUUAUAGGAAAAUAAGAUAAAAUAAAGCUUUACAUUGGAGACUCAUUAUUGAGUUUUUCUAGAUCUCCCACAUCUACUUAAAUCAAAAGCACAUUUGCCAAAAAAUAAAAAUAAUAUAUACAAAAUAAAGUCAAUUCAAUCGACAAGAGACUAUUAAUCUUUAUACUUUAAAAAAUCAAGAAAAUCAUUAGACUUGAAUUCUUUUAAGGAUACAUCACACCUAUUGGUGUGGCCAUAUACAAGUUAACUAAUAAAGAAAUACAAAAUGAAACUUGGGCAAAAUAACAAUAGAGACACUCACAAAUACUUAAACUCUUAACGAAAUUAAUUUGCAAAAACUACAAGAAUAAAAAUUUUGAAAACCUAUUUCAACAACAAUAUCGAGGACAAAAACACUUCAAAUACAACCACUAUUCAUCUCAGAUGUUUUAAAUAUCACUAUUGACUGAAAAACACAAAUGUUUAUAAUGUGGAUGCGAAAUAUUGACACAACACAAUUAAAAGUAUGCCUUGAAUACAUUUAUAACAAGGACUUGCAAAAAGAGUAACUGUAAUAUGCAUUCUUGUUUGAUUCUAAAGUUGGUAAACAACAACCUUAUUGAAAACUGAUCAAAUUUAUGAAGUUGAGUAUGAUAUAGCAACAAAAACACCAAUAUACAAGAUUGUGUUAUUCUAUAUUACACAAUUUUAUAACUAUAUAACAUUUACUCUAGAAGAAUAAAUAUACCAAGGACUAAAAGACAAAGUCAAGAAAACAAAUUCAAGACAUUGAAUUCAAGAAAGAAAAUACAAGAUUUUAAUAGAAUAUUGAAUAUAUACAUAUAAACUAACCCAAUCAAGAUACAAGAAUGAAAUUAACGACAACAAAAAUGAGAAGAUAAUAGAGGACUUCAUAAAACAAAAAAAUACUCAAACUCAAGAAGAAAUCUUUGAGAAUAUCAUUAACAACUACAACAAAAUGAAUCAAAUAAUAUAAGUAAGAGGAGAAAGUGGGCCACUGAACAAAGAAAUGGUGCCAAACUCCUAAACAUAGAGCUAAGGAGUGAUGGAACCGGACCACGAAGCAACUCUCGAGCAUAUAGCCCAAGGCGCUAAGGGACAGGAGCCCAAAGCGACUUGGAACAGUCUUAAAGCAACUUGCAUCCCAUUACCAUGACCAAUAUGCAAAAUGGAGCCAAACGGAGUUUAGCACUAUUUCGACAUACCAAUGGCCUAACACAAGGACAUGGGUACUCCAUUAGCUAAUAUGGAGCUAGUAUGGAAUGGAACUUGGGAUUAGACCCGAGUUGGACAUAGAAUAAGGACAAGCACGCAAGCGAGAGUUAAAUUAUACCUCAAGUUGGUCAAACAUGCCUAACCUACACACUAUCCAUACUAUACAUUUAUAGCCCCCUAUAAUGCGCCCCCCCCCUUCCCCUUCCCCUUCCCCUUCCCCUUCCCCUUCCUUGAGGAACAUAGUAUUAGGAGUUAGUCUUUGGGACAAACUCGAAAGUUAUUAAAUAUUGAAUGUCCUAAGAUUGUAAAUUUGGACAUGGGACAAACACCAUUGUGUUUAGGAUUUUACAUUCCGUAGAUGUGCCAAAUAAGCAAAUCUAGACACUUUUCAUAAAUAGUAUUUGGGACCGAAAUGAAACUAACACAAAAGGCAUGAUAGCGAAAGUGUUUGGUAAACACAAUAAGUUAUCAUCUAGCAAUAUUGAGGGACCAAGUUUAAUAUCACGGGGGGUUUUGAUAUUAGCAAAUGCAAGCCAAUGACACAAGUUUCUCAAACUAGGUGUAAGCAACUAAAGAGAACAACUUGAAAGACAAUCCAUGAGGUUCAAAUAUAUAGGGAAAGGGCCCAUGAACAAAAGUGCACCCCUUUUUUUAAUCGGUUAAAAGUCUUGGGAUAUUUAAGGUUAAAUGUCCUUGGGUUUGAAUAGUACUGGGUUGGGUGACCUCUUGGGAAGUCCAAACUCAUGAACUUACACCAAACCGAGUAUGCUCAACAAGAAACAUAUAGAGUUCCUACUUUAUGUGUAUCCAAUUUAAGUACAUGAUCAUUGACUAGUUUCUCAACUAGCUCAAGUGGGAAACUGAUAACAGGUCCAGCAAUACCAACUUUCUGCCAUUGUGGUAGUAAGGAAAGAAUAUCCGAAAGAACUAGCCGACAGAAUUAACCGACAGAUAACUUUCGAUAUCCGAAGUCACAUUCAUAAUAACCACCCACACUUGAUUGGGAGCAUGGGGGAGCUAGAGCUGGCUCUUGGACACUUAACCAAGCUACCCCGUUUGUCAGUCCGUAUUCACUCUAGCCUUGGACUUCCCAGUGGUUAUCUCAUCACCUAACAGUUGGGUAUAGCCUUCCUAAGCUAAACUCCAAACUAGCUCCACUAGGGUACCCCACACUCUCCCUACUAUACUUUUGGAACCCCCUGCAACCCCUUGCAAGAGUUAAUCUCUGGUACAAUUAUGAAAACUUAUAUAUUAAAUGGUGUUAGAUUGUGAAUCUAGAAGCAAAAACACUAUUUUGUUCAAAACAAUUUCUACAUUCCAUCAAUAUGCCCAACUAGCAGAUCUAGACACUUUCUAUAAAUAGCCAAUAGGACCAACACAAGCAAAAAUGUUUGUCACAAAUGUGAUUUCAAGUAUCGAAAAAUACUUGUCGACAAGUCCUUACGAACACUCUCUCCUUAUUGUUAUGAUGGUAAGAGGUCAAUACAGUUAAUUCCCUUUAUGGUUCCCACUUUAUUCGUUAAUGCAUGUGAAGGAACUUCUAUAUAUUUCUUGCUGAGCAUACUUGGUUUGGUUUGAGAAACUUGUGUCAUUAGCUUGUAUUUGCUAAUAUCAAGAACCUUACAAUAUUGAGUUUCCCUCAAUAUGAUUACAUGAUAGUUUAUUGUAUUUAUUAGACACCUUCAUUAUCAUACCCCAUGUGUUGGUCCCAUUUUAGUUUUAUAUGCUAUUUAUAGUGUUGUUCCUAAUGUCAUUUUAUAUUUUGUAAGUUUCAUGCUUGUCCUAAAAACUAACUCUUAAUACUAAGGGUAAAAGCCCAAAAUAUGCAUUCCUCAAGGAAAAAGGAGGGGGGCAAGGAUAUGAGAAGGGUCAAAUGUAUAGUAGAGAUAGUGGUUGGAAUGAAUAACUAACCACUUGAGACAUUAGUUUAGCUCCCACUAAAUUGUGUUGCUCUUUAUUCUACUUUUAGCUUAAGUUUAAGCUCAAAUUCUAUAUUGUUUUAGUUGGUGGGCCACUAAUAUGUCAAAAUUGUGCCAGACACCAUUUUGCAUGCAAGUGUUGAAUACACUAUUAGCCUAGUUGAUCUUGGGAUUCAUGAAGGGAGGUAACACCUAUCUAAUUCUGGACAGGCCCAUUCGAAAUCAGGAAAACACAUGUCAACAACACCAUCCUUGACAUUGAUCAUCACAUUAGCAUCCCACAUAUCCCCAUGAACACGAAAAGCCACAUGGCCAAUGCAGUUGCCAACUUUCACCUGUGUGCACCUGCCAAUGCCCAGAGCACACACAGCCUCAUCCUGUCUACCUCAGGAUGUCCAUGCAGUGGCUUCCAUCCGUCCUGCACACUUAGGUACUCCAUCGUUCACCUCAAGUGUCGUGAGUAGCUGCCAAGCUUUGGCCCACACUUUAUGCACAUAACAGCCAUAUCGCUGAGCAUACUUGGUGACAUACUUCUCGCCAUCCUGAUCAACAACAUAAACCCUUUUGUUAUGAAUCUUGGUCACUUCAGAUUCCACGUUGAGUUAAUGAUGCAGAGGAUAAGGGACUUCGGGCUUCCACAGCUGGUUCCAGCUCCUGCACAUGCCAAUCUCUGUACAAGUCCCACAGCCUGAGCAAGCACCUCUUUACAGCGAUGCAGAUCGUAACACCCUUCUCUGCCAUCGGGCAAUGGUGGUCUUGGAUUGGCACAAAAACGGUCACCGUUAGCGGUUGAUAGCAGCAGUGGCCAUUCCGCCAACCCGAAAAACCAGCCCAACCUGAUCAAUGACAAAUGCCAGAUAGCAAGAGCUUUUACCUUUGGUCGAGCCUUGCAGUGAUAAAGCUUGAGGUUGUCCAUGGCUUCAAUACUUCUCGUAGAAAAGCCUAGCUUUACUUCGACGAGCCCUAGAAGAACAUCCGAGAUGCUGUCACGGAUGCCUAGAUCCGUACUUUUCGGAGUAUUCCGGGAGAAGUUCCCCGUGGACAUCUCCUCCUGGACAUAAAUACCAAUGUAUCGGUGCCACAAAUCGCGCAAGAUGGAAAUCAUCUUUGACUCGCUCGAGUAGAAAGAGGACGAGGCCUUGGCAAGCCGGCAGUAGAAGUCAUAGUCCUCUUCCUUGCAUUGGAUCGGAAAUCGGCCAUCCACUAUGUCGAGGAACAAGCCGAAGACCGGAUUCAUGAGCUGCAGUGGCAGAGGUGCCGCUGGUAAAGCAGGGUGGAAGUAGUAAACAUCUGGUAUCUUGGCCAUCUGGGCCCUUCGGACAAACUCCAGGUUGGUGCUCGAAGGGCGAUGCAACUUGCCAAUGUGGCAUCGCAUUCAUCUUCAUCUACAUAGAGACCAGGAAUGAUUAACGCUACAACAAAGCAGAAGCCAUACCUGCUGCCCUGCGGGAAGGAGAUCAUCAUCUUCCAGAACGAACCGCCUGUUGCGUUCACAAGAUUGAACUUGGACUCCGGCUUUCCAUAGCAUUCUUGGGGCUCUUUCAGGAUCUCAGCCGCUGAGGACCCAGCGCCGUUGAUAAAAAUCACCUCCUCAAUCUGUAUCGAAAUAACGGCAUAUGCUGAGGACGCAUAUUCUGGGCAUAUGCCAAGAUUUAAUGGUUGAGAUAUAACUAACCACAUUGCAUUUGUAUUAGCUUACAGACAUAUUUUAUUAACACUUUGGAGCUUGGCCAUUUUCUAAAAGUUUGAAAAAACAAGAACUUUAAGCCUUAGAAUUUACCUCAAGCAUGAAUUCAACUAUGGCCUACAUAGGAGGCUGUUAGUGGCCUAAAGCCAUGCAAGUAUUGACCAUUGAUGCUCAAUCUUUUGCACCUUAUCAGGUUGCAUCGUGAUUCACGUUGCCUAGUGUUGCAGUGGGAGGAAUGGCACUCACCCACGUGCACAGAAAACGCCAGGUUCACAGCUCUUCGAUUUUCUUGCUGGAUUGCUUUUAGAGUGCCAUGAUUCUUAGCUCUCCAAUCUCUUUCUUGCCCCCAGGACACUCUCACGGGAUUCUCUGCUGGCGUGUAGUGGCAUCAUGGGUUGUUCAGAUCAAUGUAAGCGCAAGGAGCUUCUCAAGGAAAAUCCAAUCUACAUUUUCAUCCACAACAGCAAGUCUAUCUGUCUUGUCAUCGUCAACUACAUUAACAGGGUUCUCACAUCCAUGCGGGCAGACUUGGUUGACAGUGUCCCUUCUUCCAGGUUGAUCAAAACCGGCUUACAGAUGAUAACCGGCUUCCUGGACAACGGCACGGUGAUGAAGGACUACACCAUGGUGCUACAGAUGGUCCUCUGGCUGCAUCGGAUAUGUGAUCAGAAAAACAGAAGAAAAACUUUGAACUUCACAGAAGCAGGACGGAAAGUAACCAGUGCAGAGCUGCUGAUAAAAUGCUGGCUACGCUGGGCGAUGAUUUCGACUGUCCGAUCUGCCUCGCUCAUCCUUCUGGAGCCGUUAUCACAUCCUGUGCUCACGUUUUCUGCCGGAGGUGCCUCAAGAAAGCACUGUAAGAUGAGGACAAAGCUGAGCGAGGACGAUAUCUUCGCUAGGGAAACCAAAGGAGGAAGCAGAUGAAGAGCCGUUCAACAAAAACGAUGUAGAGGACGAGGAUGACAAUCCUCGUGAAGGAGUGAAGCCAAGUGCCAAGAUCAACGUGCUGAAAACGAAAAAAGUCAUCAAGGAGCCACUCCAAAGGGCCAGUUUCAAGUUCGUCAAGCUCAAGGUCGGCAUGAGCGGAAGAGGAGUGGCUGUUCUUCUCAGCCUCAAGGUCGCUGGAGUGUGACGGCGUCCAACGUUUUCAUGAUUGAUCCAUCAACGUUAGGACGUGCAUUGGCUGGAUCCGACGGCCCAAAAAGUUCGGCAACUUGCGCUGGCAUACGCCAUGCGCAACUGCGCAUCGCCCUCAAAGAUCUUCUUGACGCUGCAAAACUCCCCGCUAUGGAGGAGAGAUGCCAGGAUGCUCGUCCGAGCGCGCAAGGCAUCGUCAUCUUUGAAUGCAAUCACCUCCCUUCCUCCAGAGCCCUGGCGCUGCUGCGCUGUCGGAUGAGCUCGCCAUAACUCCUGGAAUCCAAGCUCCGAUCAUCCUCACGCUCCAAAUGCUCCACUAUCUCUCGCAGAUUCUUCCCAGUCCACAAAGUGCCCGCUGUUGAUGGUGGCGACCCUGGUAUACAGCGCCAUCCACCUCCUGUUUCGUGUCAUCGUAGCCCCAGAUCGAUCGAUUCACGAGGAGCUCGCGGGCAAGGAGACAGGUAGCGUUUGGAUGGCCGCCGCCAAAGCCCUAAACCCUCUUCCUCGAGGCGAGGGAGGAGUGGGCAUGGGCGCCAGCAUCAGGAGUGGCGCGAGCUUGGCGGCUACGGGCUACAUUCCGCGGAGCUUGCGAUCGCAGCAGUGCUCCAGCGCUAGAUUCCGGAUGCAGCUCCUCGCUCCCACCAGGAAUUUAGGUCUUUCCAGCAACCUCCAGCAGCAGCACCAUCCGCUGGAAUUCGCGUCUAGCGGCAAGAAGCAAGGAUCCUUGUUCUUGGUUCCAAGCACGGGCGAUAACUGGAAAGCUCGCAGUGAUCUUCUUCCUUGCCGAGCCAUUGCCGAGGAAGAACAGAGUAAGUGUUCUAGUUUUCUUCUUGAAUUCCACGAGGAGCGAGCGAGCGGUUUCUUUUCUUUGCAGUGGCCGAUGCCAAAGAAGCUGACACAGCUGCCAGGAUCGAUGGCAAGGCAAUCUCGCAAGCGAUCCGGGACGAGGUUGCGCAAGAGGUGGCCAGGAUGAAGAGCGCGCUGGGAAAAGUUCCCGGCCUCGCUGUUAUUCUGGUUGGCAGCCGCAAGGAUUCGCUGCUCUACGUGACGAGCAAGGAGAAGGCCUGCGAGCAGGCUGGAAUUCGAUCCUACAGCGUCAACUUGCCCGACACCGCCACUGAGGCCGAGAUCUUGGAGCACGUUCACAAGUUCAAUCGUGAUCCCGAUGUUCACGGCAUCCUCGUCCAGCUUCCACUCCCAAAGGUAAGCAAACUCUCUCUCCCUCUCUUUCGAUCUAGCUUUGUUCCAUAUCUUUGUUCUUGUUCUUUGUUCCAUAGCUACUGGGGCUUGGAUUGAUCGAGUUAUACCAUCUUUGCAGCACGUCCGAGAGCAAGAAAUCCUGGGAGCCGUGAGCAUGGACAAGGACGUCGAUGGAUUCCACCCCACGAACAUUGGAAGGCUGGCCAUGCAAGGAAGGCAGCCUCUUUUCAUCCCGUGCACGCCUCGGGGAUGUAUAGAGCUGCUACUGCGAACCGGCGUCCAAAUCAGUGGCAAGCAUGCUGUUGUCAUCGGUCGCAGCAACAUCGUAGGAACGCCAGCAGCGAUGCUCCUUCAGGUUCCACUCUUUUUCUCCAGUUUUACUCGUUCGUGAUCGAUUCUUCUUUUUUUUUUUCGGCAGCGUCACAAUGCAACCGUAACGGUGGUUCACUCUUACACUCCAGAUCCGGCCGCGGUGACGAGAACUGCGGAUAUCGUCAUUGCCGCGGCUGGAGUGGCUCAUCUGGUGCGGAAAGACUGGCUCAAACCAGGAGCUGUGGUGAUUGACGUUGGUAUCAACCCAAUCGAGGUAUGUUCAUCCCCGUUUUGGCUUUGAAGUUGAGCUGCCAAUGCAGGAUCCUUCCGCAAAGAAAGGCCAUCGCACCGUAGGUGACGUCCACUUCAAAGAAGCGUGUAGUGUGGCGUCGGCCAUCACUCCAGUCCCUGGAGGUGUUGGACCCAUGACCAUCGCCAUGCUCCUCCAAAACACUGUAGAAUCGGCCAAGCGGGCCUAUGAAUUCAAUGGAACUUAAGCGGCUAGCAAAGUAAGUCUCGAGUCUCGCCAAAAAUGAAAGUUUUGGAUACAAAGAAACGUUUUACAUUUAUGCUAUGCAAGGAAUCGGCCAUCCCGAAACAUCACUUUGAGGAUUCUCUUGAGAUUAGGAAGUACAUGCCUGGGACCAGCGCUGGCUGUCUCAAAGCGAUCCAAAAUUUGCUCCAGAUCCUAUGAUCAAAACAAAGAGAAGACGAAGAACACUGUCAAUGCCAACUUAGUUUGGAUGGAAAGAAACGAGACCUUGUUUAGAAGAAAGACUGCAUAAGCCGCCCUCGUAGGCUCUUGGCCAUCUGAAAAAAGAGGGAACUCAACUAGCUGAUUCUCUACAGCCGGCAAGACAAUGGCACCACCGCUGGUUGACGGCUCGGUCGGAGGUGAAGGAUCUUGGAUGUAAGAUCGAGAGGCUCGGUAUCUCACGGGGUAGCGAAGCCGGAUGUCCAGGAAGCGAGACAACAGGGAGAGCAUCUGCGAGCAAAGCUCAAACUAGUUUAGAAACUCCCACGAACUUUGUGAUCUAGAAGCUUUCACGACCUAGCUCGUUGCAAAUCUCUGAAAAAGGAAGAAAAGAAUACUGCUUACAUGAGCGACGUGUCCGAGUGCUGUGGCCGAUGUUUCGUACUCUCGCUUGUCGGUGAAGAGCGCGGCUUCCUUUUUGACAGGAGCAAUGACGUGCAGACCCGAGAUUGUAAGUGGAACGCUGUCACCUUCGCCUGUGCACAAGUCAUGAAAUCUACGGAGAUCGAGCAAGACUUUUGCGAGUACCUGCAUGAGCAAGAGGCGGACACUUCUUCUCGUUUGUGCAUGGAAUGAGUGGAUACAAAGCAGCAACUUGCGCAGCCAUGGCACGCCUUCGAACAGUGAGAAGCCCCUUGAGACGAGCAAGUCUGCCAUAGCCACCAUCACCAGACAAAAGCUUCUGGGCCUCCUGGAAAAAGAGAGAAAACUUGUGGACGAACACACGAGCAAGCAAGAUAAAUACCUGCAAUCGAAACUGCGCUGCAUUCAAGGAUCUAGCUGCGUGAAGCAAAGAAUUCCCCGACAACGCCAACUUGUCCCUGGCAUCCUUGAGCUGCUGGUUUUUUUCUUCCAGAGAGGACGUCGAAUCCUCCACCGCUUUUCGCCGGAGUUCCACCUUCUUGUGUAGAGAUUCCAACGCGUCGAUCCGUUUGAGCUCGACCAAGUUCACAGUCUGUGAGAGUAGAGUACGUCACUACUUGAGAAAAAGAAAAAUCUAAGAACUUACUUCCACAAGAGUCUCGAGCUUGCGAGCGGCGGAUUCCUUGGAUGCGCGGGCUUUGGAGAGGAGAGUGGCGAGGCCGCAGAGACGAGCGAGGGAGUUUUCGUAUUCUUCCCAUUGGAAGAGCUGGGGAGGAGGAGAGGGCUUCUUCUUCUUCUCACCGUCCUCGCUGGCGUCGGCGAGUCCGAGCUCCGAGCAGCACUGCGUCAGCACGGUGGCCACCGAAUCCUCCACCUUGUCCAUGCGAUCCACUCCCGCCUCAUCUUUCCAGCAUCUGGAAUCUGGAUCAUAAACCCUAGGCUAGGUAGUUACCUAAUUCUUUCGUUUUCUACUGCAAGGUAAGCCAUCGAGUCUAGAACCGAGAGAAAUGAUAUAUUCUGGGCGAUUGAUUCAGUCGAAAAAGCACUGGUGCUCGUCUAUCUAAUUGUUGGGAGAAUCCAAGUCUAAUAGCCACCGGUCACGUCACCAAUCGCACUAGUGUAGUGACUCAAAGCUAUGCACCAAGGAAGAACUUUGGUUCAGAACUGGAGAGUUUUUUGUGGCAAAAAUCCAAGUCCAAAAACAUCGAGCUUGUUCUUGAUGAUCCAGUGAUCUAAACAUGUCAAGGGUGCCAGCAGGAUGAUAAAAAUCAAUACACAGGCAGCACAAGUAACAUCACAGGUAUCAGGUGACCACGUCUAAAGGCAACUUCCACAAGAGUCGGAGACCUUGCAAACACAAUUGGACAAGGGUGAUGGCAAAAACUUCCCUUCUGGACAACAUGUCUUGGUAUUGACUCUGCUCAAUGAAAACCCAUGUCCCAACACAUUUCAAUGGUGGCUCCAUGGAUCACGAUCAAAAGUUCCACUACUACCUUUCCACAGUCAACACUGAUUGGACAAUUGGGUUGACCGAUGUGAUGGAAACAUUGCAGAAUUUUAGCAAUACAGAACAGGCCAGCACCAUUUUCACUCUGAGGUCGGCAAUUGGGACACAUGUAAAAUGCCGUGGGAGGGACGCAUCUGCUACUUAAGCGUGAUUGAAAUUGUUUAACACUUCAUCCAAGAUUGCAACUUCUGCUUCAAUGGCAAAUAAUAACAUGCCUCCUCAAUGAACUGCUGGCUGUAUUGGAGAAACACUUGAAGUGUGGUUUAAUCCACAUGGCAGAUGAUGUGGAUAGUAAUAUCUUAGAUGGCAAAAUUUAAGAAAUCUUUGGGAUUCUGGAAGAGAAUCAAGAGCCGGGCAGUUUGUACAACAAUGGCAUUGCAAAGAUUUAAACAUUGCAGUUUGUUAGUUCAUCCUGAAUCAAUCAUCUCAACAUCUAUUUGGUGAACUACAUUGACUUCUAUUAACUCGAGCUCAACUUGUGAAUUGAGCUCAAAACCAACAACCCCAACAAAUAGCCUUUAUCAUCUUCUCAAAAGCUAGUGUGAAGUGUGCAUUGGAUGAAGCCUUUCUUUCUCGAGAAUGUGAGCUUGUUCAAACUGUUCAGCCAGUAUGCUAUUGCCUUCUGUGAGAACAAUCACAAGAGAUAGAGAGCUUUUCUUCCUCCAUUAGUUUGUCAUAGUCUUCUCUUGGUGCUGCGGCAUUUGCAUGCUCUCCUGUGCUUGAUUUUUGGCAUUAUCUCAUCCGUGUCAAUGAGAUUUCUUGAACGAAUGGCCCUAUGGCUUGAUUGGAACUUGUUGAUGGUAUCAAAUAGAUCCUAGUCUAAAGCUGGUAGUUUGAACUUCUUAACAGUACCCAAAUAGACGGUUUUUUGAAGGAAGAAAAUGAGAGAUGAGAGUUCUAAGCCCGAGUGUCCACAAGGCUGUCACGAUUUGGGGAUCACUCUUCUUGUUGAACACUGUUAUCCAAUGUCCACACACAAAAUGAAAUCCUCGUUAGAAAGGUUAUGUCAGUGCUACUCACUCUCGUCUCUGCGCUCUCUUUUGUGUUGCAGGCGAUUAGCACCUGGCGAGAGAGAGUCCAGGUCGCGACCAAGUUUGGCAUCACGAGCCAGGUGUUCAUGAAUCAUCUGGGGCACCCUAUAUAAUUCCUUAGGGCCAGGGAUAAUGCGAGACUAGAGUGGAAGGCAUGGGUCCGCCGCGCCAUGGAUCUGGAAAAGAGUCAGGCCUGCAGCUCCGGAGAGGCGAUGAGCAGCGCCUUGUUCCUCAGGAGAAAGCCGCCGCAUCUUCAGGGCUGAGAAAGCGGAAAGCGGCUGAAGAAUCAGCGGCCGCAAGAGAAAAGAAAAGGUUGCAAUCUAUAGUAAUCCAAAUGGUCCACGAGAAAUCUCCUGGCAGGAUUAUGGACUUGGCCAUGAAGAUGCUCGAAGGUACGGUUUGUUUUUCAUUCCCAACUUCAAGCUAGUUCUCACGAUACAAACAAAAAAUAACAGGUCCAAAACCAAUGCCACAUUCAGAGACUUCUGAAGAGACUGAAGAUGAUCCGGGAAUCGUUGAGAGAGCGUUUCAAGGGGAGUAUCGGACUGUGGGGGGAGUAGACAACGUUGAUCUCUUGCGUCAGAAGAUUGAAGAAACAGGAACAUCCUGGGUUGCAAAGAAUCGGAUAGCACCUGUCGUUACUCUAGUGCAGUCGAGUGGCUGGGGAAAGUCGAGGACUAUCUGCGAGCUUGCAAGUCGAGGUGUGUUCGUGGUUUACUGCUCCUUUGCAUCUGCCACCACUACUUACCCGCCAAGGUCUGCCAUUGCGGACUUCUUCUACACAAGCGCCGUCAGGCUGCUCAGCUCGGGUUCUCGGCUUGUGUCAGAGAGCAGGUUUAUGCUCUUCUGCAUGCACUACUUCUCGUCGUGCAUCGAUGUCGCCGUGGACAAGCAGUUGGCGGCAGAGGACUUCCUGCAGGAACUAAUGCUUGGAGAGGAAUUCUGGCGUCUAGUGCAGGCCAAGAUUGAGAGUCGACAAAAACAGUGGGAACGCCGCUAUCCUGCACUUGAAAAGGUACUGCUGGAGGAGCCUAGUAGAGCGAGCAAUGUCUGGGGCGCAUGGGAAGAUCGGGUACAUCGGCGAAUGCGGAAUACCGACAAACUGAAGCAGUUACCGGAUCCUCCCAAAGGAAAACUCAAGGUUUUGUUUGUCAUGGAUGAAGCUGGAUGGUUUGGCAGGUGUGAUGAUCAUCGAGCUUUUGCUGCAUUUGAUCCUGCAAGAAGGGCUGCCAGGCUGUUUCCAGGGACUGGAGAGGUCGUUGCCUUAUAUACAGACACCAACGAUUUUGCUGGGAGCAAUGUUGCACCUCCGUGUAGGCCGCACAGCAGCGACCGAGUAGCUGCACAUGGAACGGCAGUAUCACAUCCAGCGUACUGCUUUUUCGCGGCACACUCACCGUCAGACACAGGAACAGGUAGCCUUCCGCUUGGCAAAGUGGAAAAUCUUGGUCGUCUGGUCGCUUAUGGUCGGCCGCUCUGGCAAGCACUGUUAAAGGCUAAAGGAGAUCCUCAGGAGGUAUUAACUCUGGCUGUCGACAAGCUCCUUGGCGGCGCUAAUUCGCUCAGCAAGUUUGUGGAGCAAGGUUUUAUGUUGGAAGAGGCUCCUUUGGCCAUACUUGGCUGCAGGGUGUGCCUCGACAUCAACCCUCAGGCCAGAGUUGUCUCUGGCUUGGUUGCGAGGCACCUGCUUAGCGUGGUGUCUAUCUCUGACGACCGGGAGCAUGUUUGGACGGAUUGGGCCGUCGAGCCAGUGGUUGCAGCGGCUGCAGCAAUGGCUUUGCGUGCGGGGCGAAAGCGGACAGGGUGGCAAUACUGUCUCGAAAAACUUGAGGACGGGCUGAUGCGUGGCUGGGUGGUUGAUCGAGGUUACCGGGGCGAGCUUGUUGCACGAGUGCUGCUAUUACUCGCAGUGGACAGUCUGCAGAAAGAUGCAUGGAGGUGCUUCACUUUUGACGAGCUAUGCCGUGGCCUUUGCGGCACGUCGGUGUCGGAUCUCAGAAAAGCAGAGCUGGGAGUGGAGGACGAGGAGAAGGGCCGUAAAAAUGUGGGUGACGCCAAGUUCCUUUGCUUGCAGUUCAGGAAAACGGACAUUCCACUGAAGGAGCUCACGGCAGAGAAUCUGCUUGCAUUUGGAAAGGCGGGUGUUGGCAUUAUUUGCAGUGGAGGCAUAGACAUUAUCAUCGUAGGCUUUUUCGGUGGCACGUUCAGCUUGGAGACGAUGACCGCCAUUCUGGUGAAAGUGAAGAGGACGAAGACGCUAGGCAACUUGGAUUUGGCAUAUGCUAAAUGUAGCCCGGAGUUUUCUGGGAUGGUGGCUCUACUCGAGGUACCGUACGUGAGCUUGCUCGUGAAUGUUGCUGACAGUUCCAGUGACGAACUUGGAAACUCAGAACGACAAAGCGUCAGUUUCAAAACUGGGAAACUCGUUAAAGCGGCAUUAAUGAAGAAGAUGCCUGCAAAUGUUUCGAUGGGAGUGGCACUCCAGGAAACACACCCAAAUUGCGAAGGUGUCGAGCUAUGGGGAAAGGAGAAAGGAAUGUCGUCCAGGAGCAAAAGACGUUCUUUACGGAAUGUCGAGGCAUGGAAACGAUAUUUUACUCCGGUUGAUGACGAUCUCCAACACAUUGUGGCCAUUAAAGGUGCGUUUUCUGUUGUUCUGUUGACAGUCACAUUGUUUUUUCCGCAGGUUUGCAGGCAUUCUCAUCCAGGGACCAAGUGAAACGCCUGGUUGACAUUACUCUGAAAUCCACUCCAGGGAUGAGGCGGUUAGAGGAGAGGAGUCAGAAGAUAUGUGCAGAGAUGAUGUUUAGCCUUGUCAGAAAGAGAAAACUGCGAAACAAAAGGUGAUGAUAGUUGCUCUUACACUACUCUGUAAGGAGUCUAUAUUUCUCUUGACGAUAUUAUUUGUGCAGUGGCUGUCACAAUAUAUACUGCUCCAAAUUCUGGAAUGUCGCUGGCUUGCAUCUUUUUCAAAAGGAGGCAAGAAGAACUUAUUUGACUAACAUAAAAGUUUGUUCUGGCCAUGGUCGUCCAUGACAAACUUGAUCUCCAGUGCACCACAGCAGUGUGAACAUAAAGAAGAAUCUGUAGUAGAGAAAAAGAAAAGGAACAAGUUAGCAAAGAACCAACAAAACAAUUUUACAAAAAAAAUUGUUGUAACACACAAUACAUGCUUUUUAAAUUACUGUCAACCAUCGACAGAUUAAUUAGCCCUUACACCCUAAGUCAAUUGGCUAAAGAUCUUUAUUUUAUUAUCUUAACCUGGUGCUUAAUAAUCUUCCUUUUGCUAGGGAAUAAUCUGCAAUCAUAUUUAAAUCACCCUUGGUCACUAUAGUCUUUCUCUUAUAGUUUACCAAAUUUUAGUUCUCCCUCUAGAUCCAUUAUGUUGAAUAUUUCUUUAAAAUAUUUUUGCCCCACUCGUUAGCCAUGAGAAUCAAAUCUAACUUUGAUUACACCUUAAGUCAAUGGUAAUCACUACAUUGCAAAGCUUUUUCUUUAUUUUAUUAUCUUGACCUGAUGCCUAAUAUUGGGGGUGGUGAUCUGCUUUACGUCAACACUUUCACAGUAAUUCUUCCUUAAUCCUUUCUAGCUUUCCAUGCGUAUGUUUAAGCCCAGAGGAUAUUCCGUCGCGGCGCCAUUGAUUCCAAUAUUCCAAUGGCGCCAUUGAUUCGACUAAGCCCAGAGGAUAUUCCAAAGAAUAAAUUAAAAUAUACAAAUUUUAAAUGCUGCAUAUUAAAGAUCUAAAGCCCAUUUGAAACAUUAGAUUUGGGCUUAAACAUGAAUGACUUUAGAUCGAUUGACCGUACACAGAAAGGCUAAUCCUUCGAGGCUAAGCUCGAAGAAUUCAUGAUAUGAAUCGUGAAGUGGAUUUAAGAGCCAUUCUCGUUUAAAUUUCUAGGCAAAGAAGAGCUUCACCACAAUGCAAUUGCUCUGUGCGUAAGGAUUUGACAUUCUUUUCUUCGCGUUUCAGGUCACAAAAACACUGAGCUGAAAGUGUAUGGAGGUGAAUACUACAGGUUUGUGAUUGCCUUCUCUUGCUCUGGCUAGAACUCACGUUCUACCGAUACAACAUCGAAUGGAAGCUCCUCCGAAGAGGCUAAGCUAUAUGCCUUCAAUUUCGUUUUUACUUCGUUUCUCGACUAACAAAAGAUCUCUUGAGACUAGAUUUUAAAUCAAAAUGUAAGAUAAGAUGGAUAUAAGAUGGAUGAACACAGGCUCUUUUGUUCUAUUUUCUGGACCUUAUUACACGCUGAAGGUUGGCUGUUUGUAGACAUCUGUAAUAACCUGGUUAAACAUUUGUAUGUUUGCCGUCGCGAGUGGAGUUCCAAAAAACUACCUCAUGGUGAUCAUUGUGGGAGCAGCAGUCCAGGCCAUUGUGCUGCUUAUUCUACACCAUUAAAAAGUUCGCCCACUUCGUCCAAAACGUUCUAUGGUUGUAGAAUUAGUGAAAACAUAAAGAAAAGCGCAUGAAAAUGUUACAGUAAAGGCACCCCUUGACCUCACCAAUGGAAGAAAAUAAGUAAGCAUUUCGGUAAGGGGAGAGGGAGAAUCUGUAAUGUAAACUCUAGGCGAGACGCAAAGCACGAAGAACACUGAGAAAGUUCUCCCACUUAAGGAGAUCGCCUGCCCUAGCUAAAUCAAAGAGAGAAGAACUCAGAUUCGCCUUUUCUCAGCCAAAUCGUCGCAAGCUCUCAGUGGUGUCAACGUAUCGGCUAUCGCUUGAUGCGAAGACCACGAUCAUCAAACUCACAAGACUUGGAUUGCGCUGAUUUUUUGUCGAAUCAUCACCGUUCCUGGGCAAGAACAAGGGCACUUCCACGGGGGAGAAAACCAAACUCGCUCCUGCCCAUACCUCCUCGCCAUCGAAAUCAUCUUUGCUGCGAGAUCGCGUCACAAAAAAGGCAAGACAGGAGGUACCAAUCGAUCAUCCCACGCCGCAAGAACAGGGCAUCAGACUUAAACUAAUGAGCGUAGAGGAGCCCUACCAGGGACGGCCGAGAUUAAAUCACUGAUCCAACGGGCACGAUCUCUUAUGUCGUUUAGCCCAGAUUAACAAAGUUGAGAAGGUUUACCAGCAACACAGUCAAUGGCGCUGACUGGAAAUUGAAAUUUGACUGCCCAGUCAAAUAAAUAGUGUGCGAGGAUCCGGAGCGUGAUCACGAAAAUGGCUCAUGGAAAUCUCUCCUCGCUGCCGCCACUGCUGCUUAUUCUCAUUUCUUCCUUGGUGAUCUUCUCAUCCCGCGCUGCCGAUCCCGAUCCAGCGCAGGAUUAUUGCGUCGCAAACGUCGAGCUCCCGCUGCGAGUGAAUGGCUUCACUUGCAAGCCCGAGGUCACUCCGCUCGAUUUCGUCUCCUAUCUCCUGCGAGAGCCCCCGAAUCCCACCGCCCUGGAGAACAAUCGACUGGGUUCCAUCGUCACGCAGGUGAACGUCCAGAGUUUCCCGGGGCUCCACACCCAGGGCCUCUCGAUCCAACGCUUCACGUACGCCCCCGGCGGCGUGAUUCCUCCCCACGUCCAUCCCCGGUCCUCGGAGCUGCUCUACGUCCUCCAGGGAACGGUCGUGGCGGGGUUUGUGACCACGGACAACCGGCUGUUCCAGGCGACGCUGGAGCCCGGCGACCUCUUCAUCUAUCCCAGAGCUCUCAUCCACUUCUCGGUGAACACGGGCGAGACGCCGGCGCUGGCGAUCGCGAGCUUCAACAGCGCCAAUCCGGGCACGGCGCUGCUGCCCAACGCGCUCUUCGCGUCCGUGCCCGUGCUCCCGGCCGCGGUGCUCGCCAAGACGUUUGCGUUGAGCCAGAGGGUCAUGGAGAGCUUACGGCUCGCAUUGAGGAGCAUUCUAACCUAGCUAGUAGCAGUAGCAGUAGUGAUCUAUCGAUUCUCUGUCGCGAUUAUCUACAUCGAUCGAUCGAUCCAUUCGUGCUUUGAAUUUAAAUUUGAAAGGUCUUUUCCUAAUAGAAUACCCUUGGGUUUGGAAAAGGCUGGCGGAUAGGUCGCGCUUCUUCGAAAGAUGCCAAUGUUUUGUCUCGCAGGGAAAUCAGUGUGAUCAGGGAAUAUCUAUCCUCAUCAGAGGACGUCAAAGAUGACAUAGUCCACAUCGAAAUGACGAACAACGAGGGAGCGCUGAAGGGCACUGUUCAAGUCAGUCGCUGACAAGGCGUUUGAGGUGCUUGAGGCGGCAAGGACGCGUGAGCGUGAGCGUGAGGCGGAGGCGGCAGCAAUAAUCAGUAAGUUCCUCUUCUUGCUCGUGUAUUUCGGUCUCAUGUCGAUUCUUCCGCGUGAGCAAAGCUCGUACUUGGACUUGGAAAAUGCGCAUCAGAAUGAUGGGAGGAUUGUGACAGUCCAGCACGCCAUCUCUGGGAGCACGAAGCGAUACUCAGUGAUGCUGAAGUCGGGCCGGUUGCUGCAAGGAACGUCCGAAAGCUCCUCACGAACCUACGGGCCGACAUCGAGCGCCACGCUAACUGCUGGCAAAUCCGUCAGUGCGUUCGGGAGCCGGAUGACUCCUGCAAUGAUCUCGUCUACCAGGAUGCAGCACGACUGGUAGUCGGCCACUGUACCACGCAAAAUGUUGACAUGCACAACUUCACAAAGUGCUGCCGGUUCCAAAGGAACAGACUAGCAAGAUCAGCGGCAGGCGACAGCACCUUACCUGACUUCGCUAUUGGCAUCGUCCAGCCGGCCAUGGUGGUAUCGACUAAUGCUUACGAGUGGUGCGACAUCUACGUGGAGUUCAAAAACGACGAAUCCAAGCUUGCUGAGGGGUGUGGCCAGGUUCUGGAUAGGGCAGAGAAGCGCUGGAAAGAUGCUUGCGCCAAGAAGAAGGUGGCGUUGGGUGGUGUGUCUACAGGCAAAGAUCUAUUACCUAUGGUCGUAUUCACAGAUGCAAUUGUCGGCUCUCAUGUUGUCAAAGGUGUCAGGUGGAGCUUGGAAAGUGAUGGAGCCGCAGGUGUGACACCAGGAGUGGUGCAUGUGGAUAGUUUGGCGCUGCCGGAGCUCCUCUUCCAGAUCUUCUGUGCCUUGCACUUUUCCAGCAGAUGUUUCACCAUGAAACCAGGAGCUGGCAUUCCAAAGCUGGAGCCUUCCCACUCAUACAAGGAGAAGUAUGUCGUGCGGUCUGAUUCAGGCGAGAUAUGGGAGCUAGAGCUCGUCCACACGUACAUGGACUUCCUCUUCCGCGGGGGCUGCUAUUUGGUUCGGUUGGAUGGCAGCAAGCAGCAAGUGGUGCUCAAGCGAGGCCCAUGCAGUCGGUCAAGUGUGCAGCUGAAGGAUUUGGUCUUCCAAUUGAGCUCUUCAGCCAGGUUGAGAAUGAGAUCCGCGUUCGGGAGGUUCUGGCUGCCAGUGGAUGCAAGAUCAGGAUCCCCGAGAUUCUGUAGUCAGGCACGGCUUUACAGCCGUUUGGCUGGAGAAACUGCCCGAUCGUGCUCAUGAAUUACGUUGGUGAAUCGCUACACAGCAAGACGCUUCCUAUCCGGGACGCCGCCAAGAUGGGAGCUAGCCUGCCAAUCCCAAAGUCGAGAAGGUGGAGCCGCUCCAAACCAACUCCUUGCUCGCGGUAAGCAACGUUCCUGGAGCUGAUGUCUCUAUGGAUUAUCUCCCGCUUGUGCAGAUCCAGCACCGUCUCCACCGUGAUUUCCUCGGACAAUGGUGGUAGCGUGGGAAGCAGCUCUGUCAAGGACCUGGAGUUUGGCUCCAUGAACUCGGUGUUGGGCAACAGCGUUGACGCUUCAGCGGAUCUGGAGGGCAUUCUGUAUACGAUGGUAAAGGUGGCCGGGAUGGAUCUGCCGUGGUCGACUGCUGCGCAGGAGGAGGACGAGGACUUGGUGGUUACCAUCCGGCGCCAGGUGUUGGACCAGGGCUUCCUUGCGAAGCUCAAGGAGCCCCUCUUCAAUCAGUUGCAACAGGCAGUGUUCAACGUCCGCCCUGAUGUUCCUUCACCAUAUGAUCAUUUCCAUUGUCUAGCCUCUAAAUCUCCCGGCUCGCCCCUGCUCGCCAAGACGUUUGCAUCGAGGCAGAGGGUCAUGGAGAGCUUGCUGCUUGCAUUGAGGAGCAUUCUAGUAGAGUAGUGACCAAUCGAUCCUAUCCAUUCAUGAUGCUGUUUGAAUUUAAAUUUGAAAGAACUUUCAACGACUAUAGAGAGGAAUUAGGGUUCUUGCAAUGUCGCAGCUAGAACGACUGUGUCUUUGGCGAUGGCGGGCCUUGGAUCGCUCUUUUCAACAUCUAGAAGCUGGUGAGGAAGAUUCAUCGUCGCAGCGCAAAUGAAUCCCACGCAACAAGCUCGUGAGCGGCCGGCCCUCGCCAUCAUCUUUCUGUGCUCGCCCCAAAUUUCGUCGCGGCGAGCUCGAGAUGGAAGAUCGAUCGAGAAAUGGGGUGGAGCAGCCGGUGAUCGGGCAGGAUAGCAACAGGAAGCUCCGGAUCUUGAGCAUCGAUGGCGGUGGAAUGAGAGGAAUCAUCCCAGCCCAUAUGCUGGCCUACUUGGAAACGGCUCUCAAGGAGAAGAGCCACAAUCCAGACGCUCGCAUCGCCGAUUUCUUCGAUCUGGCGGCUGGAACCAGCGUUGGGGGACUCAUUGCCGUGAUGCUCUUCGCAUCAUCCGACUGCCGCGAUGAUCAAGACGAAGAAAUCUCCUCCUCCUCCUCAUCGUCCACGGGAGAUCAUCAAAACCACGGUUCUAAGUCACUACGUCGGCCUCUCUUCACGGCCGCAGAGGUUUGCACGUUCAUCUCGGACAGAGGCAAGGAGAUUUUCAAGAUCCCAUACCCGCAGCGAGUGUUUGCAAAGGUCCGAGGGAUCAUGACACCCAGGUACUCCACCAAGUUCUUCGAGAGAAUCCUCAAGCAGCACUUGGUCCGAGGUGGUGGCGAUGGCAGAGAUCUCACACUGGAUGACACGCUCAAGCCCAUCGUCAUUCCCUGCUACGAUCUCACAAACGCCAGCGCCUUUUGCUUCUCGCGAAUCUCCGCCAACUUCAAGCUCUGGGAGGUUUGCCGGGCUACCACGGCGGUUCCAUCGUUCUUCAAGCCCAUCCACGUCUCGUCCGUGGAUGGAAAGCACGAGUUCACGGCAGUCGACGGUGGCCUGGUGGUGAACAAUCCCACCGCCGCGGCGAUCACGCAUGCUUUGCACGACAAGGCUCGCUUCCCGGGUGUCCGAGGGGUGGAAGACAUGCUCGUUCUAUCGCUCGGCACCGGACAGUUUGAUCAAACUUACCGCUACAACAAAGUGGAGCGGUGGGGAGCUUUCCAGUGGGCCAAACCCAUUGCCAAGAUCAUCAUGGACGGAAUCUCGGACAUGGUGGAUCACACGGUCAGCAUGGCGUUUAGCAAGCACCGAGAGAAUUACGUGAGGAUUCAGGUGGGUUAUCUAUCGUUGAGAGUUUGCUUUGACGAACGACUAAAGUUUGUUUGCUUUGCUUCCAGAUGUCUGGCUUGCCGGGCAAAGCUCUCCUCGCAAUGGACGAUCCAAGCCAGGCCAACGUGAAGACACUAACCGAGAUUUCUACUCGGCUCUUGGACCAAAAGAGCUCGGAACACAUCCCGUUUAACGGGCGAAGAGUUUUGGAAGAGAGUAAUAGACAGAAGCUGGACUGGUUUGCCGAGCAACUCGUGGCAAACACUCCAUCGUGAUCGAUUGAAUAUAGUUUCUUAUAUACAGGAUCUUUCAUAUGCACAACGAUGAGAAGCUUUUUACACAAUCUACAGGGCUUGGGCGGUACUCGAGCAUGCCUCCGCGCUAGCAGCAGCCAUGCGAGGUACGUCCACUCCUUCGUUGCAAAGAUUUGCAAACGCUCUCAUGUGUUUCAUGCCAUACUGUCCCAGCAAACCACAGCUCGUCUCGAAAGCUUGCACCUACAAAGUCACAUCAUAGAGAGAAGAUCAUCGAAAAGAUCACACAAAGUUCUCGAAGAACACUUGCCAGCGAUUUCAGGCACGUCCAAUCGUCCACGAGCGCGAGGCCGGAGCCCCGGACGGUGCUUAGAACUUUGGAUGCCGCAGCCUUGGAGCCAAACAGACGCUCGCCAACUUGGUCCACGCUCUCGUCGACGUGCUGUCUGUGAGCCAAGGCGUUCAUCAUCCUCUCGCGAGCUUCUCGUUUGGCACUUCCAUCCUUGGCUCGGCGAUACUACACUCGACGAAACGAUGCAAUCAUCGAUCUAGAAAAGAAAAGUUCUUCUCUUCGUACCUUGCUCCACAGGUGUAGCAAAUCCGCAUCACGCUGGCUAACACCAUUGGCACUGCUCGGGAUGAUCAAGUCGCCAUUGCCAUCCGCGAUUGCGGGAUCAAAGCCCAAGAACAUGGAAAGCGGGUUAGAGUUGAGCUCCACGUCGCCGUAUUGCAUUACGUGUGAUCCGGCCUCGUAAGUGUUGUGAUUCGAGGUUCUAUCUUUCACCUGCAAGAUCGAAGUAAAUACCAAGAGAUCCCGAUCGAUUCAGCAAACUCACGUCUAGAUACUGUUGAAGUAGCGUCUCCCUCUUGAGAUUGUGAACUUCGCUGUUUGGAAGAGAGAUCUCGUAAGCUCAAACGUCAAGAAAACUUAGAACUUUAGAAGAACCUGUCCUCCAUCCAAGCGACGCUGUAGAGAUCUCCCAAGCAAGUAUCAUACUCGGGAGGAGCCGAGGGUAGCAUUCCAGGGCAGUAAGUUCCCCAGCUGCUCUCGAUCGCGUUGGAAGCGGUGGUAACGUAGAGAUCCAGUCCCAGUGGAAGCAAUCCCUCGACCAUGCUGCCACUCUCGCAAGCCUCGAUAUAUAUCACCUAAAGUUGGCAGCUCGAGUAGUAGCAUCUUCUUUAGCUCACGACGAACAAAGAAAGAACAAAGAUGAAAAGAUCUUUACCAUUUCUCUGUAGCCUCCGGAUGCGUGCUUCUUCUUGAUGACGUCGAUGAGAUCAUUUGCGUAGAGAUUCGACUCUCCGGGCAUUCCUGUCAAGCACGACAAGCUAAGUUGUUUGUCUUUCUCGAGUCUAGAACAAAGAAGGAAUCACCGAGAACUCCAGGGCCUCCGUGAUCCGAGUAGAAGAGAAAGACAUGAUCUUCCGGCCCGCUGCUCACGACUUUGCCAGUUCCGCCGCUGGUGGAAUUCUUGUCCCCGAGAAGAACAGCCAGGAAAUUCUCGGCGGUCACGGCAGCGCCCGUGUAAUCCUGGCCACAGAACAAUCAAUCAAUAACGUAACUUCCAAGAAAUCCGCGAACAAGUCAAAACUCCUUCACCUUUGGAACUCCGGCAUAAACGUCGGAUCCUUGGGGAUGAUUGAUGAUCGUUCCCGGGCGAGGAUUGUCCGUGUUGUUGGCUAUGUCGUCGAACAUCAUCACCACAAUGUUUUCCUCCUUGAGACCAUUGCUGCGCAGCAACUGGUAUGCAUGGCAAACAUCCGCCUAGAGGAAAGCGCAGUUUGGAAGCAAACAAGAGCAAACGAAGAACUUAGAACAAGAAGGAAGCGAAGAACAUAGAGAAAGAAAGCGAUGGAAAGACUCCUCUCACCUGGUGCCUGUAGUUGCCAAACCCGGAAGAUCCAGCAACUAGCAGCGCCCACCUCGUCCCGGACGCAACGUCCUCGCUCGAGGGCAUGCGAAUUGGAUUGUGGGCUGCGAAAAAGUCCAGUGGCCUGGCCACCGCCACCGCCACCGCCACCAUCGCUAGAACCAGCCACAGGAAGAAUCCCACUCCCAUGACGACGAUCUCUCUCGAGAAAGAAAGAAAGAAAGAAAACCGAAGGGUUACGAGAGAGCUUGAGUCUCUCUCUCUCCCUUUAUCGUGAACAGUAAGAGAGCCCACCUAGACUCCCAAAACUCUAGCCAAGACUGUCGAGGAAUCCAUCCACGUCGGCCUUGAUGGUGCUUAGAUCCGCCUCGGCGCUCAAGCUCAGCUUGCCAUCGCUCACGCUCACCAGCACCUUGGCCUGGAACGCGUUGGCGUAGGCAUUGGGAUUGCAAAACAGCUCGAAUCCCACCUCCUCGCCGCCAUCGCCACCAUCGCCACCAUCGCCAGCGCGGUAUGCAAACUCGACGCUCUUGAGCCUCUUGGGCCGCCCUCCUUCCUCGUGCGCCUGCUGCUUCUCCCGGAACGUCUGGAUCAGUCCUUCCAUCGUCCCGCUCAGCGCUCGCGCCUUGUCCAUCGACAUCGGCAUUGUGAUGGACGUCUCGCCAACGUGAAGCGUCAAGCUCUUGGACGCGAUCGUCGUCGUCCCCGCGGCUACCAAAACACACUAAAAAUCCCACCUUUGCCUCGAAUUCGACAUCUCACCUGCGCUGGGAUUGCCGUUGGAGCUCGAGCAAGCGAUCGGCAAUGCGGUGUGCCUGUGUGACAAGAACACUCUCGGAAGAGCAACCAUGCCCGCCAUAGCCAUUGUUCUUCCGGACCACAAAAACUAACAAAACCCUCGAUCUUCUUCCUCUCUAUCUUAGCUCCAAAUGGCGGCAGCGAUCAAAUGGGACGAUGGCUUCCCCAAGCUGGAUCUCGACUCGUUUAGCUCCAAGAGGAAGCGAUCGCUCAAGAGAUCCUCCAAGAACAACUGGCUCCAAAGAUCGCUGCAGUGGAUCGAGGAGAGGAACCUGGGGCCGGGCGGCGGCGCUGGGAUCGGGUGUGGAGUAGGGCUGGGAUUGGGCGUGACGGGAUCGCUAGGACUGGGCGCUGGAUCCUGGAACGACCUCCGUGUCAUCUUCGGAGUAGGCGCCGGGUGUGGCGUUGGAAUCGGGUAUGGAAUCGGGCAUGGGCUUGGCUUUCUCUGGGAUAGGCCACCGGGACCAUCGCCACCACCACCAAAACGAAAUUUUGUCUCGUGAUUCUUCUUCCUCCCAAGAACAAGAAUAAGAUCUCUUACGUUCGAUUUCCAUAGCUAAAGCUAGAAGAUAGAAUCGCUCCAUAGCUACGUAGAAGAAAGCUACCUAGAAGAUAGACUACGUAGAAGAAAUCUAAGAAUCUCCAUAGCUACGUAGAAGAAAGCUACCUAGAAGAUAGACUACGUAGAAGAAAUCUAAGAAGCUCCAUAGCUCAUAUGAAUAUGGACCAAGGUCUCCAAGUAUAUACAAACCGGGUAAAAAUCCCAUCUUGCUCGAUCUUCCUCCAUUUCAUCUGUCGCGAGCUUCACGAUCUUGCCGGGCAUGGCCGGAGGAUCGCCCCCAUGUCCGUCUUGUACGCCUGGCGGCACCCCGGGCAUCGCCCAUCAUCCGACGCGAUCCGGUGGUGGCAAAACAAGCACAGCCGGAAGCCACACGCGCAAGGCUGGAACGAGGAAUCGGUGCUGUCCAGCUCCUCCGUGCAAAUCGGGCAGCACGCCGGCCCCGCGCUCGCGGCCGCCGCCGCUACCGAUCUCGCGAAGAAAUCCCUGUGCCUGUUCGUCACCCACGCCGCUGGCGGCCGCGGCGGUGGCGACGGUACUCGUCGCUCCACUCCAGUCGGCCUGGGAAGCAGCGGCGGUAGCGAGCUCGGGGUGAUGAUCCUGGGAAGGCUGGCCGGACGGAACGUAUCCUCAACCUUCCAAGCUGCGACGGCGGCUGGCGGAGAGUUCCUGGCGUCCUGGUGGCGGAUCAUCCUGUCGUCCCUGUGCCUGUUCACCACCAUCGCCACCUUUUCCUUCUCGGCCGGAUCCUUGUUGAGAUUCAUCUGGGAGUCGAGAGCGUCGGCCGCGGCCUCCCAAUCCUCCUCCUCCUCCUCCUCUCCCCCAUCCUUUCCUUUCUCUCCACCGAGAACUUUGUCACAGUCCCCGGAAGCUUUGUUCUUGCUCUUGCUCUUGCCUUUCCUGCCAGAUCUUCUCUUCCCUCCCUUGCUGCUCAUGUCGGGAGGAUCCAACACCACGCCCCUCUGACUAGAGCAAGAAAUGGAUGAUUUACUUACACUCGAGUUAAAAUUACAGGAGAGGAGGUCGAGCGGCCCACCGUCGCACAGAUCGUCGUGGUUGAUCACGCACGACUCGGCGUCACUGUCGCCUCCGGUGCUCGAUCCGUGGAGGUGCUGCUCCUCGCCCAACUUGGGCGAUGGGCUCUCAAGCACGGAAUUCGGAGACAAGCUCGCCACAAGCUUCCCUACACAGAAAAAAAAGGGGGAAAAACCAUUCACUCCAUCCAUCCAUCGCGGGCGAGAAAGGAAGAAAAAGUCUGUGUCGCCUACCUUGAGAGAGCCAUUGCUCGCGCCGGGCAUCCAGCUUGAACUGCUUGAGCUUGGCGUUCCUGUUCACCUGCGCAGGGAAGGAAGGAGACCAUGAAUUAGGGUUUAGAGGAAACCGUGGGAGCGCUGCCAAAUCCUUACCCUCUUUCGCUUGCUGGCGUCGCGGGCGAGGAGCGAUUCCAAGGGGAGCUGGCUCGCGUCCAUGGCGAUGGCGAUGGAGCUGGAAGAAGAGAUUUUCGCGAUUUUGUUGGAAAGAGAGAAAGGGUAGGAAGGAAGAAGGAGAUAUCAAAUAGUAUAACGAAAAAGCACGGCCGCGGCGGCGAAGAGCCCACUGAUGAUUUAACGGAGGAGGAAGACGACACGCCAAACCGGAUUGGACGGCCAGGAUUGCUUCCGUUUGACCGAAGCAAGCUCCGAGCCGACGAAGCAUUCUCUGACACGUGGCAUCAUCGUAUAUGUUCUUUUUCUUGGCGAGUUGGGUGUUCUAUACCUGACAGGGGAAGAAAUUAGAUUAACGGAUAUAAAAGAAAGUGCCGUUACUCGCAGGAAAGUCAAUACAGGAAUAUACCUCCUUCACUGGAACUUGAAAUUAGGGCUCUAGCGCAGCAGGCAUGGUGAUCUUGCGGCGGAUGCGCACGCUUCUCUUUCCACCCUUCCUGGCACUCUUGGCGAUCAUCUUCUGGAGCGCCUCUCUUCAGAUCCCGAGCGCCUCUGUUCUCGAUUUGGAGUGUCUCGUGUGUCAUGGCGUCAAUGUCGUCAAAAAUCCAUUGUGGCAAUUGCGCGCGCUCAGCUUCGACAGGGAUCCGCCCAAGCAGCGAUCCGAGAGCGAGAUCGUGGUAGCCAGCGACAGCGUAACAGGGCUGCCAAGUCUAGAUGAUCAAGAUCGCGUCUUUCAGCUGGAAAUUCCUUCUGCUUCUACGACGGCAUCAGCUGAUUUGGAAGGCGGCGAAGAUGAGAUUGACAAACAAAAGGAGAUUGGCGAAUUCUUCCAGGAGCUCCAAAGGAAUUCAUCGUCCACUAUAGCCGAUCGUAACAGCACUCUUGAAGAUUCCAGCCAAGCAGGGGAGAGGCCGCUACAACCGCCCAACGAUCCAUCAAUAGCUCGAAACGCUUCCAUUAAUCCCCCUUCUAUAAGUUCCUUGACAGCUGAUGAUCAAGAGGGGAAGCGUGCGAUCGAAGAGGUGGAGCGACUUAUGCAAUUCUUGCGAAGAUCAGGAUCAGGCCAGGUAAAGAAGUCUCCACAGGAUUGCCAGGGAAGAAACGUCUAUGUCUACGAUCUUCCACCCAAAUUCAACACGGAUCUCCUCAAGCAAUGUGAAACUCUGCUGCCAUGGAUGAGCAUGUGUGAUUUCGUCCGCAAUUCGGGAAUGGGUCUUCCAGUUUCGAUCGACGCCGCUCGCGAUUUCCUCACUCCUCGCGGAUCUUGGUUCAAGACACACCAGUACGCGCUGGAGAUGAUCUUCCACGCCCGGAUCCUCGACUACUCCUGCCGGGUGCUCGAUCCAUCCCUCGCCGACGUGUUCUACGUGCCCUACUACGCCGGCCUGGACGUGAUGCGAUGGAAUUUCGUGCCCAACGUGAGCAGCGCACAGAGCGACGUGUUGGGCGACGAGCUCAUGACAUGGCUGAUUCAGCAGCCGUCCACGUGGAAAACGGGCGACCGACGUGACCAUGUCAUAGCCCUGGGAAAAAUCUCCUGGGAUUUUAGGCGUAUGACAUCGGACGCAAAAUGGGGGAGUAAUCUCCUCGCGCGCGCGGACAUGGCCAACGUCACCAAGCUUCUCAUCGAGCGCCACCCCUGGCACCCCAAUGACGUGGGCGUGCCACAUCCCACCUUCUUCCACCCGGGUUCCGACGUGGACAUCACGACGUGGCAGGCUCGCGUGCUCAGGGACGACGUCCGGCCGAGCCUCGUCGCCUUCGCUGGCCAGCCCAGGCCCGGGCAGGGCGGGAGCAUCCGUGGGGAGCUGAUACGGCAGUGUACGGCUCGCUCGGACCUGUGCCGGACCUUGGACUGCGGCUCCGGGGCUUGCUUUGGUCCCGAGGCGACUCUAGGUCUGUUUUUAGUCUCGGAUUUUUGCCUCCAGCCAGUUGGCGACAGCCCGACCCGGAGAUCGGUGUUUGAUUCGCUGCUGGCCGGCUGCAUUCCGGUUUUUUUCGACCCCUUCACGGCCUACUACCAGUAUCCAUGGCAUCUUCCGUCAAAUGGUAGCGCAUAUUCUGUUAUGAUCGCGGCAGAUUCUGUUACCGACGUGGAUAUCGUGGGCGAGCUCCAGAAGAUUCCAUUCGCACGGAGGAAGGAGAUGCGGCAUUUCAUUGUCCACGAGAUUCUCCCCGGGAUCGUCUACGCGCAGCCGGGAUCCAAACUGGAGAAAUUCGAGGACGCCUUCGACGUUGCCAUGAGAAACGUGAUUGCCAGGGUCGCUUCGAGAGAGGUUUACGAUUCCAGCGAGCUCAGAUGAUCGAUCACCCAAAGUUUGCUUGUUGUAUAGAUUUAUACACACAAUUGACACACACACGACACAUUCUUUUAUAUCUCUUUCUUCACGGCAGCAAACGCAAAUGGUGUUCCACAUAAGACUUAUACAAAGAGUUCUUCCGUUCUCACAUCAUCUUUGUUUUUGCUAUCCAUCUUGGACGGCUCAUAAAUUAAUCCUUGAGGACUCGAAUGGGAAGUAGAAGAACGAUGAACCACGGGUUGAUCCAUCCAUCCCUUUGUCGCCUCCAUCACUCCCGCAGCCCGAGCUCGAGCUCUAAAGCCAGGCCGCGGUUUGCUGGAUGCUACAACUCCCAUUCACUUCAUGCCUCGGCCCAGAGCGUGGAGAGGAAGAGCUGUCGAACGAACUUUGAUCGAACGCUUGCCUCUUCCAGCUUCUGCUCUCUCUCUUCGGCCGUGAGGGAGCAUUCAGCACUGUUAAGAUCCAAAAAAAUCGCAACUUGAUCAGCAACUGCUGCGAGAAAUCACUUUCGUAUACAAAGACAUACCUUAGCUCGGCUGGAGCUGUGGAAGUAGCAAGAGAAACCGAAUCCGAGUUAUCCAAGCUCAGCUUGGAAGAAUCGUCAAUCUCGGAUAUGGGCAUGUUACAGACAAGCGUGGACAAGAAGAGAUCCGGAAUUCCAGAUCCUGUCCUUGCCGGAGAGCACGCUCCCAGGAGAGCCUGCAAGUGUGCUUGAUUCAUGUCCUUCCCACUGAAGGGAAAUCCGGAAUGGGACGUGAUUCCCGGCCUCCUAAACUUGCGACGCCUCUGAAAGUAAGCUUCUCGUCAAGGAUAAUACAAACGAGGAACCGGAACAAAGAUAAGAAAACCAACUUUUUCAAAGGAUAUCUUGAAGAGAUUUCCGUGAUGAACUGUGAUAUGGCUGAUCAUGUCCUUCCCGACUUUGGCAGCACACACGGGACACAGCUAUAGACACAGAAACGCAAAGAAUCAAAAUCCACGAAGGAAGAAGAAGAAGAAAAAGAGAAUUUUCUUACCACAGGUCUUGAUUCGGAGAAAUGCUCGUCCUCCAGGUGAGAACACAGAGAGAGCAAGUCCAAUCCCUCGAAACAGUAUGGACAAGCAAAAUCCGGUCUCAGUUCCUCAUCGCCCUCCACAUCAUCCACAGUGAAGUGCUGAUCUGCAUUGCGAGCGCAGAAAACCAAUGUAACACCCACGAAAAAAUUCGAUAGUGGAAAAGGAGGAGAAGAGAGCUCUAUAGCUUACCCAGCAUCGAAUGAACGGCGUACUGGCGCUUAGAGAGCAAGCGAGCUGCCCACAUAUCGCCCUCCAUGCUUGCUUCCACGGCGAAUGCGGCCGAACGGCGACGAGCACCUCAAAACCCUGGUCAAUCCCGGCCCGCCGCUGCAACCACACACGAUUCUUGCGACGGCCGCGCACACGAGAGGAAUCGCGACAUACCGGAGGGGGGAAAUCGACAAUGCCGCCGCGGCGUCGCUAUCUGGGCGCACACAAGCUUCCCUCUUGUGUGGCUAUGGCGUCCCCGAACCUGGACUGGGAUCCCAGACCUAGAAUCCCGAACCUGCGGUUACCGUGCCACGCGGCCGCGGCGAUCUUUCCAUUUUGCAACCGCAAAAAAUUAUAAGGCUAUCAUAGACACGUGGCGCAGAGCCAUUGGCAGCAGUGGUUGACUUUGCCGUGGGCGAACAGGGUAAAAACGCGGCAUUACUUUCUCUUUCACUUGGAAAUCCAGUAAAGGAACAUCAAGAAAGUGCAAACUGAAAUCACGGCUGACAAGAUCAAUGUGUCCUGGUUUUUUUUUCUUCGAAUCGCAACUAGAACAUGGUUCACCUGGAAAGCACGCAUCAAAAAAGGAUUUUUUUUUAUCCCCACACUGAUCGAUCUGCGAACUUCUUACCGACGGUAGAAUGGAUCCUACGUUGUUGAUCUUGAAUCCGAUCGUUCCAAACAAGCUUCGCUGCGUGGACAGCGCGCUGAGAGCUGCGUGUGCUUGAUUCACGACCGAGUCUAUCUGAGAACCAAGUCACUGUAAGAAAAAAGAAGUAACUUUGUCUAGAUCUUAGAAGAACCUGAGCAGUAGAUCUCUGGAUGGAGCUCCUCUCUUGCACAAGGGGAUCAACUUCCAAUCUUCUCUCCGAUGGCGAUCGAAAAGAGUGGAGCAAUUCGGCGUGCUCGCGAUUGUCUUUGGCAAUAGCUCGUUUCCUCUUAAACUCCUGCGAGAGCUCUCACUAUGUCAAAGGAGAAAAGAAAGUUCUUUCUCAUACAUUUUCUUACCUGGACGAACUCGUGAGAGAUGUUUAGAUGGCGUGCCAAGGUAUGAGAAACAAUGUCAGAACCGAUCGCUGACAUCAAAGACUGCAUACUCGAAUUGAUUUGCUGGAGUUGCUUGAGCAGCCUCUCGAUCUCCGCUUCACAAUCCUCCCCCGACUGAUCUGGCCGCCCAAAACUCGCGAGCUUCGCAUCGAUCUCGUUCUCCAGCCUUCGCGCCUGGCAUUAAACCCUUAGAGAGAAUGCUCACGGAUCAAGCGCCCAUUGCUCACCUGCUUGCGGAGAUCGUCCCAUCCGACUCCGGCGAAGCUCGGAUCCACCGCCAUUUUCUUUCUUCUUCUUCCUCACGAACCCUAAUUGGAAGCCCUAGUCAGUGACAAAAAGGAGAAGAUACCAAAAUUUCAAAUUCAAAUUCAAACCAUUCGCGGCAAUCGAUCGAUCAAUGAACGCCUCCAAGAACGAAAAAGAUCUCUCUCCCGUGAAACUCGAGUGGGUCCUCAAAUCGAUCGUGAGCUUUUUUUUCUCGGAAAUUCAACGUGAUCCCACGUAGCUCACUCACGAUGGGUAUAUCUUUGAGCGCUCGCGCGAUCUCCCGAAGGAUGGCGAGAUGGAGCAGCAAAGAAGAUUGGGACAAACAACGCCAGCGCCAAAUCCAAAACCUGUUCCUCACGGUUCUGUGCCUCAGCCUCGCGGUUCUUCUCAUCGCUGUGCCUCGGGAAUACAGAACAACGCAGACCUUCUCGAGUAAGAGCUAUAACUUUUGACAGAGAUUCUUGGCUUACUUGUGAUCGAGCAGGAGCGAGCGAAAGGAUCGAAUCCACAGGUAAGUCCGGUGCUACGUCGAAGAAAACCGUGGAGGAUGGUGUUGCCUGUGAUCUUUCAAACUAUCGCACAGCAGUGUGUCGCCUCGCUGGUGAUCUGAGAAUCAGGGGCAGCACGGUGACACUGUUUAGUCCUAGCAACACCGACGAGGAGAUCCUCGUCCAAAAGAUCAAGCCAUACCCGAGAAAGUGGCAGAAGCAGCUCCUCGAGAAGAUUAGCGAGGUGACGAUCAAAGUGAGAAGAUCCAGCUCCAGCGCUCCACAGCACCAGUGUGAUGUCAACCACACGCAAGCCGCCAUGAUCUUCUCGACUGGAGGCUACACCGGAAGUGUCUACCACGACUUUAACGAUGGUCUCAUCCCCAUCUAUAUCACCUCGCACGGAUUCCAGGGCGAGGUUGUGUUCUUCGUCUCCGAGUUUCAGCCGUGGUGGAUGAAGAAGUACGGUAACAUUGUCAAGCAGAUGACCAAGUACCCCGUCCAAGACUUUUCCAGCGACUCCGCGCAGCACCGCGUCCACUGCUUCCCCAAAGUCGUGGUCGGUUUGGACAUCCACGACGAGCUUGCCAUCAAUGCCGCAAAGAUGUCGCAUGGAAAGUCCAUCCGAGACUUCCAAUCCAUCCUCAGUACUGCCUUCUCGGCCUCGGCCAGUCGGACCAAAGUUCCACGCACCAGGCCGAAGCUCGUCUUCAUCACUCGGCGAAGAACUCGGGUUGUCACCAACGAGGAAGAAGUGGUCCAGCUUGCGGAGAGAGCUGGAUUUGACGUCGAGGCUCUGGAACCCGGAUUCAACCACGAGAUGGCCAAUCUUUACGGGAUCAUACAGUCGGCCGACGUUCUUCUCGGUGUCCAUGGAGCAGCAAUGACACACCUGCUGUUUAUGCGACCGGGAUCACUUCUCCUCCAAAUCGUUCCACUUGGAACCAAGAGCCCGUCUCGGUCGUUCUAUGGAAACCCGGCCAUGAAAGCUGGUAUGCAGUAUAUGGAGUAUAUCGUCGAAGCCAGUGAGAGCAGCCUGUUGAAACGCUUUGGACAGAACCACUCCGUGAUAGUGAGUCCUCCAGAGAAUCCAGGAUCGUCUUCCGGGUGGAGCGAUAUGAAGAAGAUUUAUCUCGACAAGCAGAACGUUACGAUCUCGCUUUCGAGGUUCGAGCCAGUUCUUCGAGAAGCCUUUGAGAAAAUCUCAUCUCUGUGACCGACGUGGAUCCGGCAGCGCAGCAUGUAAAGAAAGUUCUUCCCCUCGGAGUGGUUUGUGAUGAGUUUUCGUUUCUUCCAGCUAGCCAGCGUUGAUGAUCCCAGCUAGAACAACAUACGGAGCUGCCUUCUGCGGAUUGAGAUGAGAGACCAACUUCGUUCCUCGGCCCCGAUCACUCUGGAGCUUGCAAGAACUCAGCAGAGCUGUCCACUGGCCGGUACCGGGAAUGAACGGCAUGCUUCCGAUGAGAUCUUCCGCCUCGUUGAGCUCUCCUGCUCGUCCCAAAAUGUCGAUCAUCAGACCGUAAUGCUCCCUCGCGGGAUUCACUCCAUGGUCGCCAACCAUGGAGCUAAAGCACCACAACGCGUCUCUCAGCACCCCAGAGUGAGUGAAACCACUCAGUGUACUCAUCAUCGUCAUGUCGUCGGGGUGGAACCCUUCCACCACCAUUUGCAGCUCCAGAUCUAGCGCCAACUUCCCUCUGCCCGAGUUUGAAAACACCGAGAUGAUCGUGUUCCAGGAUGCCGUGUUCUUCGCAGGCGUUCGAUCAAAUAUGAGCUUUGAUGAUCCGACAUGGCCGUUGUGAGCGUAGGCAGCAGCCAGAGCGUUCCAGGAGACCACAUCCGGCUCUGGAAUCUGGUGAAAGAACUCCAUCGUCUCCUUGAGGAACAAUCCUUGAGAGAAUCCCGUGAGCAUCGCGUUCCAGGAGACCAAGCUGUGUAGAGGCAUCGAAUCAAACACCGUCUUGGCGCCGAGAGCAUCGUAGUGCUGUGCGAAAGCCGCGAGAAGAGCGUUCCAGGACGAGACAUCCCACCUCGGCAUGAGAUCAAACAAAACUCUUGCCUUUUCCAGUUCCCCAUUGAAGGCAUAGCCAGCGAUCAUCCCAUUCCAGCUGACGAUGUUCCUCUCUUGCAUCUCGUGAAAGACCUCCUCCAUCUUCCUCACUCGCCGAAAGCUCCCAUAGGCCGUGAUGAUCCCAUUGCAAGAGAUCACAUCCCAAACAGGCAUCCUCCAGAAGAGCUCCUCGGCGGAAUCCAGAUGCCCAUUUUGGGCAUACGCUGCGAUCAUCGCAUUGAGCGCCACGACGUUGAAGCACGGGAUCCUGGCGAAGAUUUCUUCUGCCCUGGCGAGAUUACCUCUGUCGGAGUAGGCGCUGAGCACGGCACUGCUGGAGCACACAUCCCACUCCGGCAUCGCCUCGAAAGCCGCGAUGGCGUCAUCGAUCUGGCCGCUGUGAGCGUAGCACCCGAUUAGGGUAUUCCAAGACACGAUGUUCUUGAGCGGCAUUGCAUCGAACAGAGCCCUGGCGGCGUCGAUCUCCCCGUUCCUGGCCAGCGCCUGGAACAUCGCGGUGCUGGACACGACAUUCCACUCGGGCAUCGCAUCGAAGAGCUCCUUGGCGAGGACGAAUUGCCCGCUCUCCGAGUAGCCCUGGAGCAGCGAUGUCCACGAGAUGAUGCUCCGGCACGGCAUUCCGGAAUCGAACAGGCCCUUGGCCUCGCCCAGAUGGCCGUUGGAUGCGAGCGCGUGGAGCAUCGCAUCGCGCGCCACGCUAUUCCGGAAUGCCAUGGAAUCGAAGAGAUCCCUGGCCUCCUGCAAAUGCCCAGCCUGGGAAUAUGCGACUAGCAGCGCGGUAUCGGCCAUCACAUUCCUCUCCGGAAUCCUCUCCAGCAAAUCCCGCGCUUCAUCGACAUGCCCAUUCCGGGCAUAUGCGGUGAUCAUCAUCGUCCACGAGAACUCGUUUGGGUUGUCAAUGCCAUCGAAAACCCGGCGAGCGUUGGCCACACUCCCGCAUUUGCCGAACAUUUCAAUGGCGAGAUUGCGAAGGUAAGUGCUGCUGCGGCAUCUGCUGGAGAGAAUCGAGGCAAAGAUUGCAUUUGCCCGGACGGGGUCAUUUUCCACACCGCAUUUCCUCAGUAGCAGCGCAUACUUAUCCUCGUCAACCAGGGACAUGAGAGUUCUAAACCGUGUUCCUUUUGCAAGUGGCAAAUAUGCCAAAAAUUGUAUAAAUGUUAAUAUGUUCUGUUUUAGAUCUUAGGGCGCCCACCUUGCUAGAUUUAUUGCUGACCUUGUCAAAGGUCUAGCAAAUGUACGAAGAACAACUUACUCGUGAACAGUCGUGUAAACAGUGGAGUGAUAAUGGAGAGAUUUGGAAUGAUCCCAGCUCGGGGAUCUUGGAUCUUGGACCUUGGUGUUACGUACACGACAAGCGAUGGGAAUUUGUGGGCUUGGCCGUGCGUACGGAAGCAAAAGCAAAGUGUUUGAUGCCUAAUCGAAGAUGAUUCUUUCAAUAGCCGAGCAAGGUGGCGGGGAUCCAUAAGUUGGCGCAAGUUUCCGAGGCGCGCAAGCUAGCAUCGACGCUUCGUGGACACAUGGACCGUAUCAAACACUGCUCAAGAUUUUUUUCCUCGCGAGUUACGUGGCACCACUCAAGCGCAGCACAUCUAGAUCUUCUGGAAGUUUAAUUAACUCAGACACGAGCCAUAGUUAAUCUUUUAUUAACGAACUAGAAAUUAAACUAGAGGCUCGGGCAUUUGGAUUGGCCGCGACUGUGUUGCCAUUGCUCGAGUGACUUGAUCAGAGUUUUCAAGGUUUUGUCGCGCUGAUUAUAGACGAGGUCUUUGUGUGGUGCUCACGGGUGACGUGACGUGACGGGCGGGAUCCUUGGGUUGCGACGGGCCACAAGCGCGUCAACGCUUCACAAGCACAGUGCCACCCGUCAAUCUCCCAGCCACUCUACCUAUAUGGGCACGCAUCACCCCCACCAUUUCUCUUCGUCUCUCUCUCUCUCCUCUCUCGCGCUAGUUCUUCCUUGGCUUUUCUCGCGAUCGGUGCCUUCUCUGGGCGAUUCUCUUGAAUCUGGCAGCUUAAUGCUGCCGCGGGGACGAUUCGCGAGCGCGCGAGCUUCCCGAAGAUUCCACUCUAGGUCUGGCGGCGCUUUUCUUUCUUCGAUCGAGCAUUGAGGUAUGAAUACCUUCUUGUGCUUGGAUUUCUUCUCUCUUUCUCUCUCUCUCGUGCUAAUUCUUGCUUUGGCUUUGUUUUCCAGAAGUUUUGUACCAGCGGCUAGCUUAGAGCUACAUUAUUUUUCUCCGCGUCCCGCGAAAACAGUGUUUUUUUCUUCUUCUUCUUCUUCUUCCUCUAUUGCCUCUUUUGUGGAAAAUAACAAAAGAGUCCGUUUUGUGGGUGCGACUUUGUGGAUCAUUGACUCUGGGUGGAGAUCAAACUUAUCCCUUGUGCAAGUGUCUUACAUUUUCUUUCCCAAAAAGGCUUCCAAGUUCCAAGCACACACCAUGGGCUGUGCGCUCACCAAAACCGAGGACGAGCACAACUCGGUGCAAGCUCCCGUCCAGACCGAGGAACUCUGCGUCUUCUCGCCCGGCUUGCGCCUCCCAAAGUCACUGGAACUCGCAAACUCGGAUCAUCUCCUCCAAGCCUCCGCGAGAAAUUUGCUGGAGAGAUUGAUGAGCGUCCACUCGAGACUUGCCGCCGCGGCGCAAGAGCUCGUCUCUACAAAGAAACUCAAGAAAAAGAGGUCUUCGCUAACUGGUAACCCGUGCAUUCUCUGCAGAUUCUCUCGAUCAUCAACCUGACUGUUUGUUUGUCCAUUGUGAUCGUGUUAGUCUCGAACAUAACACAGCUUAAGGAGGCGAUUGACGACUACUUACCAGUUCUUCUCAAGCUCAUCCGGAAAGGUACGCUUAAGUUACGCGAAAAGCUUUCGGUCUUCUUAGGAUUGUCCUCUAGAGCCACGGUUGGCCGACCAAGUUCUGUUCACUUGGACAAACCAAGAGGACGAGAUAAAGGUGGGGGAAGAACUGUGCUUGUUUGCAUCUCCUCGUCUUUUGUCUAACUUUUGGGAAAUCUCUCUUUUGUACGUCGUUGAUUGCAGGAAACGACGCUGCAAAGCCCGUAUUACGAAGUGCUGUCUGUGCUACAGCUCCUGGCGACGCUCUCGCUACUGGAAGCGAACAGGGCUCUCUUGUUUAAACCUGUAAACUUGGAAGCCAGCCAUCACAGGCAGAUCAUGGACGGUAAGAGCCUUGAAUGCGUUCCUUUAUGUUGUAGAGCGCGACCUUUAACUCUUUCUCCGUUUCCAACAGAAACCAAGAAGUCUGCCAUGGAUGUUCUAUUCAAAGCUGCAGAGAUAUUGGAAUGCGCGCUUAAAUCUGUCCUCCCUGAAGCUCCUCGUGAAGUAAGGUGAGUUUAAAGUCUGCUAAAUUGGUGUUCCAGAGCUCGUUCGUUGUCUGAUCUUGUUUUUCUUGUUUAAAAACUAGCAGGAAUCAGCUGCCAGUGGACUUAAAGGAGGGCACGCUGCAGGCAAUGCAGCUCCAAGCGCUAGGACAGGUGAGAGACAGCAAAAAAAACUCUUUUCUCCUUUAGUUUUUUGUCGUAGCAGUGCAGUGAUAUUUACUUUUCUCUGGACUGCUUUUGCUCAGACUGUUGAGAUCCAACUGGGCCUGGCAGUCGACAAUCCGAAAGCAACCAUGGCAGUGAAGCGUCGAUUAGCAUGCGAGGAGCUCAAGUACUGGCAACAGGCUUGUUUCUUUGCUCGAUCUCUCUCGCUCAACUCCAAAAACUAAACUUUUUCCUUCAUUGUCUUUUGCAGGCCUACGAGAACUUGCAAGCUGUAAACCUGGGAAAUGGAUGGGGUGACAAGCAUUUACUUUUCAUCAGAUGGAAACGAGCCGAGGCCAAGGUAAGCAAUCUAAGCAAAGUUGAUCCCAGCAAUCUAAGCAAGAGUUUUUGCCUUUCGUGGAUCAAAGGUCGCAGCUUAUUACUUCCACGGCCUGAUCUUAAACGAGAGCAGUGACAGCCAAGGCGCAGCAGCCUGCCUGCGGGCGUCGGCACACUUCUUCAAGGAAAGCGAGAGAAUCUGUGGCGACUUUUGUGCAACAGCGCCCAUGACAACGAAGUACGUAGCAAGCAAAACCGUUUGAUGGUUUGUGCAUGGUUGUGGUCCUACGUUUAUCUGCGUGCUUUGGCCUUUCUCUCUUGAUUCCUCUGCCAGUCCUCGCUAGACUUUCCAUUUUCUCAUUCCGCUUUUCUCUUUCCUUGAUCUAAUGGGAAUGAAACUAAACUCCAAGGGGCGCCGUGUGUGCAGCAGGACACUGGUUGGCAAAUCGCCAUCAUGGGGUCCAAUGAAGCACCUCUCGGAGAAAAUUUCCAAGGACGCAGUAACAUCAACACAACAGGACUUCUUGGAAGACAACAAGUAAGUUCUCGUGCUUUGGUGUAGGUGGUGUUUGGUUUGCUCCAAACACACAGGGCUUUAGAUUCUUGCUCUUGCUCGCCCGCCAAGUUUCUAAAUUCUCGGCUUCUUUCUACUGCCAUUUCCAGAGACAGGAUCGUGGAGCUACCAGAUUUCGCAUUGGCGCUGCAAGUAGACGCGUACCAAAUGCCGGAGGCCGACGAGGAAGGAGAAAUCGACGAGAAAAACUCCGCCGUGGAGCUUGGGAUUCAAAGCGGGACAGAAGAACAAAGUACACUAUACGCAUAGGGUCAAGUCAAGUAAGGGGGAAAUUUUUUGACUGCGCAGAGACGGCAUAGAAGUUCCACAAAAAGAGAAAAGGUGGUAGAAAUGCGUGGUAGCGACGCAAGCAAAUCGCUAGCGCUAGACGAUGGGCUAUCGACGUCCAUCGCGACUGUAUAUUAAAUGUGCGUGUGCUUGACAAAAUUUCAACGCAAACAAAGCGAGGGAUGGUUUGGUAAAAUUCUAGAAGGGAGUCGUGCCGGGUGGGAAUCGAGCCGGGGAUGUGCCGGCGUGGCCACGUUGUCUGCCAGCUGGAGCGCGUGGGCUCGAACUGGCACCAGUGCCGUCCAGGCUCAACUGGGACCGCCCUCCAGCUCAUGCCCAGCCAUGCCCAUCAUGGCCAUCAUGCCCAUAAAUACCAUCCCAUCCAAUGGAAAGAGAGAGAGAGUAGCGGCCAGCCCUAUCUUCCAUUCUUUGUUCUUGGAGCUUUUUGACAAGAGAGAGAGAGAGAGAGAAGAGGGAGAGCAGUCGAUCGAUCGGCAUUCUUGCGAGAUUUCUCUCGUCUCCUCCUCCAGCUCUCGAAAUGGCGAGCAGAUCCGCGUUCUUGAUCGUGGCGGCGGUGGUAGCCGUGGCCUCCAUGGCCGACAUUGCCAUGGCGCAGGCGCCCAGCCCCGCUCCAGAGGCCGGCGCCGGCACGGCAUUGGCGAUUCCAGUGCUGGCCGCGGGAUUCCUGGCAGCGCUCGCCAGUUUCUUCCUUUGAUUGGCGCGGAUCGAGCAUGAGCGGCAGCAGCAUUCUUUUUUCUCCCCUUUUUACUUCCUCUUUUCUUCUUCUUCCUCUCUCUCUCUCUGAUUUCGUAUAACGGAUGGGUCUGCUGGAGAAAUUUUGGGAUCUUUUGUAUCAUACUAUAGCACUACAGGGGCGGCUUCUUCCUCUUCCUCUCUUUUGGUUCUACACUAUCUCUCGUUGGUUCUUGUGGGUGGUGGAUUUGGAAUAGCGGUAGCAGAGUGAUGGAUGGGGAUGGGGGGAGCUGUGGGUUUUCUUCGGCCGACCUUGUUUCGGGGUGUUCUAUUUUGGAUUCUUUGUUUUGAAAUAAGGAACGAUGGUAUUGCUAGAGCACUUAGUACAGACACACCACGACUAGCCUAGAAAACACUCUGUACAGAUUUUCCAUGAAUAUACCAUCAUCUUUCAUUCUGCUUCCAAGAAAGCCUCUGGAUUUCGAUUUCUCCUCUUCGUCGUCCGCGGCUGAAACGAUCGAAAGGGAAGAAUUGCUGAUCUUGUUUGGCUCACUCGAGUCUCUUGGUUGCUCCUGGGGAUCUGGAGAGGACGACAAGGAAGAAAACAAAAGAGUCGCUGGCUGGUAUGUGGUAUAUGGUAUAUUGCUUGCUUGCUUGCUUGGGAGAAUGGAGGCGGAGGCCCACCAGUGUGAGAGACAGCUCGAAUGUGUGCUGUGAAAAGUUGUGGGUGUUGUCGUACGUGAGGGAUUUCUGGACAUGGCACAUGCAAGCGCUGGCUGGAAUUGGGUACGAACGCCCGGGCAUAUACCAGAAUGUUCCAUUUCGGUUCAUGCUUCUUGUUAGGCACGGGCAAGACUGCCAAAACUAGAUUAUACAUUAUUUGUUUUCGCUAAAUGAGAGGUGGGCUAAAAAUAAAAGUAAAACAUAUAUUAUGUUAUUAUUACCUUUAUAAUAUUAUUUUUAUUUAUUAUUAAUAAAUAUUCUACUUCCUUCCAACAGGCAUAAUCAUUUGAG
This 40069-nucleotide long non-coding RNA is filed under the name Selaginella moellendorffii. Its description in RNAcentral is "long non-coding RNA (SMOE_LNC002371)". The record is from RNAcentral. Lineage: Eukaryota; Viridiplantae; Streptophyta; Lycopodiopsida; Selaginellales; Selaginellaceae.